GGAAGCAUAUGAUGGGCCUACUCCUAGCUUUCUUCCCAAGGAGUUGGACCGAGAUGUCGGUCUGGAUCAUCUUGUCGUUCAGGAUUAGACCGUCGGAUAGUUCUAUCUUUUGCUUUGUCUGGGUUUAGCGCAUUCUCUCUUUUGUAAACCUGAACUUGUUUUCUUUGUAGUCUUGAACUUGUCUGUCUUGGAUCGGUUGUGUUCCGGACUGAACCUAUUACUUGGGCGUAAUCCUGAUGGCCU
This 243-nucleotide long non-coding RNA is filed under the name Daucus carota (carrot). Its description in RNAcentral is "long non-coding RNA (DCAR_LNC005016)". The record is from RNAcentral. Lineage: Eukaryota; Viridiplantae; Streptophyta; Magnoliopsida; Apiales; Apiaceae.